GGGUUGUGAGGUUAAGCGACUAAGCGUACACGGUGGAUGCCCUGGCAGUCAGAGGCGAUGAAGGACGUGCUAAUCUGCGAUAAGCGUCGGUAAGGUGAUAUGAACCGUUAUAACCGGCGAUUUCCGAAUGGGGAAACCCAGUGUGUUUCGACACACUAUCAUUAACUGAAUCCAUAGGUUAAUGAGGCGAACCGGGGGAACUGAAACAUCUAAGUACCCCGAGGAAAAGAAAUCAACCGAGAUUCCCCCAGUAGCGGCGAGCGAACGGGGAGCAGCCCAGAGCCUGAAUCAGUGUGUGUGUUAGUGGAAGCGUCUGGAAAGGCGCGCGAUACAGGGUGACAGCCCCGUACACAAAAAUGCACAUGCUGUGAGCUCGAUGAGUAGGGCGGGACACGUGGUAUCCUGUCUGAAUAUGGGGGGACCAUCCUCCAAGGCUAAAUACUCCUGACUGACCGAUAGUGAACCAGUACCGUGAGGGAAAGGCGAAAAGAACCCCGGCGAGGGGAGUGAAAAAGAACCUGAAACCGUGUACGUACAAGCAGUGGGAGCACGCUUAGGCGUGUGACUGCGUACCUUUUGUAUAAUGGGUCAGCGACUUAUAUUCUGUAGCAAGGUUAACCGAAUAGGGGAGCCGAAGGGAAACCGAGUCUUAACUGGGCGUUAAGUUGCAGGGUAUAGACCCGAAACCCGGUGAUCUAGCCAUGGGCAGGUUGAAGGUUGGGUAACACUAACUGGAGGACCGAACCGACUAAUGUUGAAAAAUUAGCGGAUGACUUGUGGCUGGGGGUGAAAGGCCAAUCAAACCGGGAGAUAGCUGGUUCUCCCCGAAAGCUAUUUAGGUAGCGCCUCGUGAAUUCAUCUCCGGGGGUAGAGCACUGUUUCGGCAAGGGGGUCAUCCCGACUUACCAACCCGAUGCAAACUGCGAAUACCGGAGAAUGUUAUCACGGGAGACACACGGCGGGUGCUAACGUCCGUCGUGAAGAGGGAAACAACCCAGACCGCCAGCUAAGGUCCCAAAGUCAUGGUUAAGUGGGAAACGAUGUGGGAAGGCCCAGACAGCCAGGAUGUUGGCUUAGAAGCAGCCAUCAUUUAAAGAAAGCGUAAUAGCUCACUGGUCGAGUCGGCCUGCGCGGAAGAUGUAACGGGGCUAAACCAUGCACCGAAGCUGCGGCAGCGACGCUUAUGCGUUGUUGGGUAGGGGAGCGUUCUGUAAGCCUGUNNNNNNNNNNNNNNNNNNNNNNNNNNNNNNNNNNNNNNNNNNNNNNNNNNNNNNNNNNNNNNNNNNNNNNNNNNNNNNNNNNNNNNNNNNNNNNNCUGCGAAGGUGUGCUGUGAGGCAUGCUGGAGGUAUCAGAAGUGCGAAUGCUGACAUAAGUAACGAUAAAGCGGGUGAAAAGCCCGCUCGCCGGAAGACCAAGGGUUCCUGUCCAACGUUAAUCGGGGCAGGGUGAGUCGACCCCUAAGGCGAGGCCGAAAGGCGUAGUCGAUGGGAAACAGGUUAAUAUUCCUGUACUUGGUGUUACUGCGAAGGGGGGACGGAGAAGGCUAUGUUGGCCGGGCGACGGUUGUCCCGGUUUAAGCGUGUAGGCUGGUUUUCCAGGCAAAUCCGGAAAAUCAAGGCUGAGGCGUGAUGACGAGGCACUACGGUGCUGAAGCAACAAAUGCCCUGCUUCCAGGAAAAGCCUCUAAGCAUCAGGUAACAUCAAAUCGUACCCCAAACCGACACAGGUGGUCAGGUAGAGAAUACCAAGGCGCUUGAGAGAACUCGGGUGAAGGAACUAGGCAAAAUGGUGCCGUAACUUCGGGAGAAGGCACGCUGAUAUGUAGGUGAAGUCCCUCGCGGAUGGAGCUGAAAUCAGUCGAAGAUACCAGCUGGCUGCAACUGUUUAUUAAAAACACAGCACUGUGCAAACACGAAAGUGGACGUAUACGGUGUGACGCCUGCCCGGUGCCGGAAGGUUAAUUGAUGGGGUCAGCGCAAGCGAAGCUCUUGAUCGAAGCCCCGGUAAACGGCGGCCGUAACUAUAACGGUCCUAAGGUAGCGAAAUUCCUUGUCGGGUAAGUUCCGACCUGCACGAAUGGCGUAAUGAUGGCCAGGCUGUCUCCACCCGAGACUCAGUGAAAUUGAACUCGCUGUGAAGAUGCAGUGUACCCGCGGCAAGACGGAAAGACCCCGUGAACCUUUACUAUAGCUUGACACUGAACAUUGAGCCUUGAUGUGUAGGAUAGGUGGGAGGCUUAGAAGUGUGGACGCCAGUCUGCAUGGAGCCGACCUUGAAAUACCACCCUUUAAUGUUUGAUGUUCUAACGUUGACCCGUAAUCCGGGUUGCGGACAGUGUCUGGUGGGUAGUUUGACUGGGGCGGUCUCCUCCUAAAGAGUAACGGAGGAGCACGAAGGUUGGCUAAUCCUGGUCGGACAUCAGGAGGUUAGUGCAAUGGCAUAAGCCAGCUUGACUGCGAGCGUGACGGCGCGAGCAGGUGCGAAAGCAGGUCAUAGUGAUCCGGUGGUUCUGAAUGGAAGGGCCAUCGCUCAACGGAUAAAAGGUACUCCGGGGAUAACAGGCUGAUACCGCCCAAGAGUUCAUAUCGACGGCGGUGUUUGGCACCUCGAUGUCGGCUCAUCACAUCCUGGGGCUGAAGUAGGUCCCAAGGGUAUGGCUGUUCGCCAUUUAAAGUGGUACGCGAGCUGGGUUUAGAACGUCGUGAGACAGUUCGGUCCCUAUCUGCCGUGGGCGCUGGAGAACUGAGGGGGGCUGCUCCUAGUACGAGAGGACCGGAGUGGACGCAUCACUGGUGUUCGGGUUGUCAUGCCAAUGGCACUGCCCGGUAGCUAAAUGCGGAAGAGAUAAGUGCUGAAAGCAUCUAAGCACGAAACUUGCCCCGAGAUGAGUUCUCCCUGAC
This 2901-nucleotide ribosomal RNA is filed under the name Escherichia coli. RNAcentral describes it as "partial 23S ribosomal RNA". It matches the Rfam family "Bacterial large subunit ribosomal RNA". The record is from RNAcentral. Lineage: Bacteria; Pseudomonadati; Pseudomonadota; Gammaproteobacteria; Enterobacterales; Enterobacteriaceae.